Molecule: ribosomal RNA, 551 nt
Filed under: Halorubrum sp.
Lineage: Archaea; Methanobacteriati; Methanobacteriota; Halobacteria; Halobacteriales; Haloferacaceae
Description: bacterial SSU rRNA
Rfam family: Archaeal small subunit ribosomal RNA
Source: RNAcentral
CUUACGGGGUUGCCAGCAGGCGCGAAACCUUUACACUGCACGACAGUGCGAUAGGGGGAUCCCAAGUGCACAGGCAUAGCGCCUGUGCUUUUCGGCACCCUAAGGCGGUGCCAGAAUAAGGGCUGGGCAAGACCGGUGCCAGCCGCCGCGGUAAUACCGGCAGCCCAAGUGAUGGCCGAUCUUAUUGGGCCUAAAGCGUCCGUAGCUGGCCACGCAAGUCCAUCGGGAAAUCCACCUGCCCAACAGGCUGGGCGCCCGGUAGAAACUGCGUGGCUUGGGACCGGAAGGCGCGACGGGUACGUCCGGGGUAGGAGUGAAAUCCCGUAAUCCUGGACGGACCGCCGAUGGCGAAAGCACGUCGCGAGAACGGAUCCGACAGUGAGGGACGAAAGCCAGGGUCUCGAACCGGAUUAGAUACCCGGGUAGUCCUGGCCGUAAACAAUGUCUGCUAGGUGUGGCUCCCACUACGACUGGGUGCUGUGCCGUAGGGAAGCCGCUAAGCAGACCGCCUGGGAAGUACGUCCGCAAGGAUGAAACUUUGGGAAUUGACG